AUUGAACGCUGGCGGAAUGCUUUACACAUGCAAGUCGAACGGCAGCACGGACUUCGGUCUGGUGGCGAGUGGCGAACGGGUGAGUAAUGUAUCGGAACGUGCCCAGUCGUGGGGGAUAACGUAGUGAAAAUUACGCUAAUACCGCAUACGAUCUAUGGAUGAAAGCGGGGGAUCGCAAGACCUCGCGCGAUUGGAGCGGCCGAUAUCAGAUUAGGUAGUUGGUGGGGUAAAGGCCCACCAAGCCAACGAUCUGUAGCUGGUCUGAGAGGACGACCAGCCACACUGGAACUGAGACACGGUCCAGACUCCUACGGGAGGCGGCAGCGGGGAAUUUUGGACAAUGGGCGAAAGCCUGAUCCAGCCAUUCCGCGUGCAGGAUGAAGGCCCUCGGGUUGUAAACUGCUUUUGUACAGAACGAAAAGGUUUCUACUAAUACUAGGAGCUCAUGACGGUACUGUAAGAAUAAGCACCGGCUAACUACGUGCCAGCAGCCGCCGUAA
Molecule: ribosomal RNA, 500 nt
Filed under: uncultured bacterium
Lineage: Bacteria
Description: partial 16S ribosomal RNA
Rfam family: Bacterial small subunit ribosomal RNA
Source: RNAcentral